RNAcentral lists this ribosomal RNA (492 nucleotides) under uncultured bacterium. RNAcentral describes it as "partial 16S ribosomal RNA". It matches the Rfam family "Bacterial small subunit ribosomal RNA", at positions 29 to 507 of the family's 1533-position model. The record is from RNAcentral.
AGUGAACGCUGGCGGUAGGCCUAACACAUGCAAGUCGAACGGCAGCACAGUAAGAGCUUGCUCUUACGGGUGGCGAGUGGCGGACGGUUGAGGAAUACAUCGGAAUCUACUUUUUCGUGGGGGAUAACGUAGGGAAACUUACGCUAAUACCGCAUACGACCUACGGGUGAAAGCAGGGGAUCUUCGGACCUUGCGCGAUUGAAUGAGCCGAUGUCGGAUUAGCUAGUUGGCGGGGUAAAGGCCCACCAAGGCGACGAUCCGUAGCUGGUCUGAGAGGAUGAUCAGCCACACUGGAACUGAGACACGGUCCAGACUCCUACGGGAGGCAGCAGUGGGGAAUAUUGGACAAUGGGCGCAAGCCUGAUCCAGCCAUACCGCGUGGGUGAAGAAGGCCUUCGGGUUGUAAAGCACUUUUGUUGGGAAAGAAAAGCAGCAGGUUAAUACCCCGCUGUUCUGACGGUACCCAAAGAAUAAGCACCGGCUAACUUCGUG